RNAcentral lists this ribosomal RNA (253 nucleotides) under uncultured bacterium. Its description in RNAcentral is "partial 16S ribosomal RNA". It matches the Rfam family "Bacterial small subunit ribosomal RNA", at positions 524 to 776 of the family's 1533-position model. The record is from RNAcentral.
GACGGAGGGCGCAAGCGUUGUUCGGAAUCACUGGGCAUAAAGAGCACGUAGGCUGUUAGUUAAGUCUUGUGUGAAAGCCCCCGGCUCAACCGGGGAACUGCACCAGAUACUGGCUGACUAGAGGACAGGAGGGGUGAGUGGAACUCCAGGUGGAACGGUGAAAUGUGUAGAUAUCUGGAGGAACACCGGUGGCGAAAGCGGCUCACUGGCCUGUCUCUGACGCUGAGGUGCGAAAGCUAGGGGAGCAAACGGG